Molecule: small nuclear RNA, 327 nt
Filed under: Prolemur simus (greater bamboo lemur)
Lineage: Eukaryota; Metazoa; Chordata; Mammalia; Primates; Lemuridae
Description: 7SK RNA (ENSPSMG00000014007.1)
Rfam family: 7SK RNA
About the family: 7SK was discovered as an abundant small nuclear RNA in the mid-70s but a possible function has only recently been suggested. Two independent studies have found that 7SK RNA binds the CDK9/cyclin T complex (known as elongation factor P-TEFb).
Source: RNAcentral
GGAUGUGAGGGCUAUCUGGCAGCGACAUCUGUCACCCCAUUGAUCGCCAGGGUUGAUUCGGCUGAUCCGGCUGGCUAGGCGGGUGUCCCCCUCCUCCCUCACCGCUCCAUGCGCGUCCCUCCCGAAGCUGCGCGCUUGGUCGAAGAGGACGACCUUCCCCGAUAAAGGACCGUUCUUCGGUCAAGGGUAUACGAGUAGCUGCGCUCCCCUGCUAGAACCUCCAAACAAGCUCUCAAGAAUAGGUAAAAUAAUUCUCAUUACUUUUCUGGGAUUUUCAUAUACUGAAACAAUCUACUCUGGAGAAAGUCAAUUUUAAAUGUGGUUUUU